UGGCAUUUCAAAGGAUUUUUGUGCGUAUGAAAAUUAAUGAAAUAAUUUUCAUACGCACAAAAAUCCUUUGAAAUGCCAGCGUAUGA
Molecule: non-coding RNA, 86 nt
Organism: Paramuricea clavata
Lineage: Eukaryota; Metazoa; Cnidaria; Anthozoa; Malacalcyonacea; Plexauridae
Source: the annotation of a GenBank genome assembly